UAUUGAUUAGAUGUCGCUUUCAGGACA
This 27-nucleotide small RNA is filed under the name Bombyx mori (domestic silkworm). RNAcentral describes it as "ovarian small RNA-24225". Lineage: Eukaryota; Metazoa; Arthropoda; Insecta; Lepidoptera; Bombycidae. The record is from RNAcentral.